This 88-nucleotide transfer RNA is filed under the name Desulfobacterales bacterium. RNAcentral's name for it is "tRNA-Leu". It matches the Rfam family "tRNA". From Rfam's summary of the family: Transfer RNA (tRNA) molecules are approximately 80 nucleotides in length. Their secondary structure includes four short double-helical elements and three loops (D, anti-codon, and T loops). Further hydrogen bonds mediate the characteristic L-shaped molecular structure. tRNAs have two regions of fundamental functional importance: the anti-codon, which is responsible for specific mRNA codon recognition, and the 3' end, to which the tRNAs corresponding amino acid is attached (by aminoacyl-tRNA synthetases). tRNAs cope with the degeneracy of the genetic code in two manners: having more than one tRNA (with a specific anti-codon) for a particular amino acid; and 'wobble' base-pairing, i.e. permitting non-standard base-pairing at the 3rd anti-codon position. The record is from RNAcentral. Lineage: Bacteria; Pseudomonadati; Thermodesulfobacteriota; Desulfobacteria; Desulfobacterales. RNAcentral also lists the same sequence under 3 other names.
GCCGGAGUGGUGAAAUUGGUAGACGCAGAGGACUCAAAAUCCUCCGAGCUUUAAGUUCGUGUCGGUUCGAUUCCGACCUCCGGCACCA